Molecule: long non-coding RNA, 564 nt
Filed under: Phasianus colchicus (ring-necked pheasant)
Lineage: Eukaryota; Metazoa; Chordata; Aves; Galliformes; Phasianidae
Description: lncRNA (ENSPCLG00000016172.1)
Source: RNAcentral
GGGAGGACUGGCAGGGGGCGGGGCCUCCUGGGCGACACGGGAGUUGAAUCAAAAUGGCGGCCGUGGGUGUGGGGUGGGUGUGGUGUGCGCAGCGCUGUGAGCGAGGAGGUGGUGUGCCGAGAAGGAGCAGAUGGAAGGGAAAACUACGGAGUUCCAGUCAGGCUUCGCAAGGAUUUAUGUACCUAUGGAUUCCAUUCUGCUUUACAGAGAGGAGGAAUAGAUUCAUGAGAAAGAACUUUCAUUGUAAUCGAAAAAUAUAAAUGAGCCUAUUUGAAAACGCAGUGAAGAACAAAUCCUGGUCCUUUUCCUGCCUCAUCUGGUUCUGUUUCCUGGCUUGUAGCAGUUGUUUGAAGAAAUACUGAAAGUGUGAAAAAGUGAGCAGACUGCUCUUCUAUGAUAAAUGUAACAAGCUAUCUCCAUGUAUUUUUGCUAAGAAUUGGCUUUUUCACAGUAAAGUUUAUAUCAAAUACUGAAACUGCCAUUCAAGACAACACUGGCAGCCUAGUAUCCAACCUCAGUUUAAACAAACCCAAGACCUCCACACCCAGUGUGAUCAGUUCCCAG